RNAcentral lists this unclassified non-coding RNA (148 nucleotides) under soil metagenome. RNAcentral's name for it is "partial internal transcribed spacer 1". The record is from RNAcentral.
CCGAGUUUACAACUCCCAAACCCCUGUGAACAUACCACUUGUUGCCUCGGCGGAUCAGGCCCGCUCCCGGUAAAACGGGACGGCCCGCCAGAGGACCCCUAAACUCUGUUUCUAUAUGUAACUUCUGAGUAAAACCAUAAAUAAAUCA